RNAcentral lists this ribosomal RNA (500 nucleotides) under uncultured Glomeromycotina. RNAcentral describes it as "partial small subunit ribosomal RNA". It matches the Rfam family "Eukaryotic small subunit ribosomal RNA", at positions 591 to 1092 of the family's 1831-position model. The record is from RNAcentral. Lineage: Eukaryota; Fungi; Glomeromycota.
CCAAUAGCGUAUAUUAAAGUUGUUGCAGUUAAAAAGCUCGUAGUUGAAUUUUGGGUCUGGCCGGGCGGUCCGCCCUCCGGGUGAGUACUGUUCCGACGCCGGGCCUAUCCUUCUGGAGAGUCGGCAUGUCCUUUAUUGGGUGUGCCGGGGAACCAGGACCAUUACCUUGAAAAAAUUAGAGUGUUCAAAGCAGGCGUAUGCUCGGAUACAUUAGCAUGGAAUAAUGAAAUAGGACGCGUGGUGCUAUUUUGUUGGUUUCUAGAACCACCGUAAUGAUUAAUAGGGAUAGUUGGGGGCAUUAGUAUUCAAUUGUCAGAGGUGAAAUUCUUGGAUUUAUUGAAGACUAACUUCUGCGAAAGCAUUUGCCAAGGAUGUUUUCAUUAAUCAAGAACGAAAGUUAGGGGAUCGAAGACGAUCAGAUACCGUCGUAGUCUUAACCAUAAACUAUGCCGACUAGGAAUCGGGCGAUGUUAUUCUCAUGACUCGCCCGGCGCCUUAUG